CGUGUAGGCGGUAUGGCAAGCGGUGUGUGAAAUCCCGGGGCUCAACCCCGGAACUGCAUACCGAACUGCCGUACUAGAGGACAGGAGGGGGAUGUGGAACUCUAGGUGUAGCGGUGAAAUGCGUAGAUAUCUAGAGGAACGCCGGUGGCGAAAGCGACAUCCUGGCCUGUAUCUGACGCUGAGGCGCGAAAGCGUGGGUAGCAAACA
Molecule: ribosomal RNA, 207 nt
Filed under: uncultured bacterium
Lineage: Bacteria
Description: partial 16S ribosomal RNA
Rfam family: Bacterial small subunit ribosomal RNA
Source: RNAcentral